RNAcentral lists this ribosomal RNA (447 nucleotides) under uncultured bacterium. RNAcentral describes it as "partial 16S ribosomal RNA". It matches the Rfam family "Bacterial small subunit ribosomal RNA", at positions 29 to 523 of the family's 1533-position model. The record is from RNAcentral.
AACGAACGCUGGCGGCAGGCUUAACACAUGCAAGUCGAACGCCCCGCAAGGGGAGUGGCAGACGGGUGAGUAACGCGUGGGAAUCUACCCAUCUCUACGGAAUAACUCAGGGAAACUUGUGCUAAUACCGUAUACGCCCUACGGGGGAAAGAUUUAUCGGAGAUGGAUGAGCCCGCGUUGGAUUAGCUAGUUGGUGGGGUAAAGGCCUACCAAGGCGACGAUCCAUAGCUGGUCUGAGAGGAUGAUCAGCCACAUUGGGACUGAGACACGGCCCAAACUCCUACGGGAGGCAGCAGUGGGGAAUAUUGGACAAUGGGCGCAAGCCUGAUCCAGCCAUGCCGCGUGAGUGAUGAAGGUCUUAGGAUUGUAAAGCUCUUUCACCGGUGAAGAUAAUGACGGUAACCGGAGAAGAAGCCCCGGCUAACUUCGUGCCAGCCGCCGCCGUAA